AGGUAAGCUACUAAGAGCGAAUGGUGGAUGCCUUGACUGGUAAAGGCGAUGAAGGACGUACUAGACUGCGAUAAGCUACGGGGAGCUGUCAAGAAGCUUUGAUCCGUAGAUUUCCGAAUGGGGCAACCCAAUGUAUAGAGAUAUACAUUACCUAUAUAGGAGCGAACGAGGGGAAUUGAAACAUCUUAGUACCCUCAGGAAAAGAAAUCAAUAGAGAUUGCGUCAGUAGCGGCGAGCGAAAGCGCAAGAGGGCAAACCCAGUGCUUGCACUGGGGGUUGUAGGACUGCAAUGUGCAAGAGGUAAGUUUAGCAGAACAUUCUGGAAAGUAUAACCAUAGAGGGUGAUAGUCCCGUAUGCGAAAAACAAACCUUAGCUAGCAGUAUCCUGAGUAGGGCGGGACACGAGGAAUCCUGUCUGAAUCCGGGUCGACCACGAUCCAACCCUAAAUACUAAUACCAGAUCGAUAGUGCACAAGUACCGUGAGGGAAAGGUGAAAAGAACUGAGGUGAUCAGAGUGAAAUAGAACCUGAAACCAUUUGCUUACAAUCAUUCAGAGCCCUAUGUAGCAAUACAGGGUGAUGGACUGCCUUUUGCAUAAUGAGCCUGCGAGUUGUGGUGUCUGGCAAGGUUAAGCAAACGCGAAGCCGUAGCGAAAGCGAGUCUGAAUAGGGCGCUUAGUCAGAUGCUGCAGACCCGAAACGAAGUGAUCUAUCCAUGAGCAAGUUGAAGCUAGUGUAAGAACUAGUGGAGGACUGAACCCAUAGGCGUUGAAAAGCCCCGGGAUGACUUGUGGAUAGGGGUGAAAGGCCAAUCAAACUUCGUGAUAGCUGGUUCUCUCCGAAAUAUAUUUAGGUAUAGCGUUGUGUCGUAAUAUAAGGGGGUAGAGCACUGAAUGGGCUAGGGCAUACACCAAUGUACCAAACCCUAUCAAACUCCGAAUACCUUAUAUGUAAUCACAGCAGUCAGGCGGCGAGUGAUAAAAUCCGUCGUCAAGAGGGAAACAACCCAGACUACCAGCUAAGGUCCCUAAAUCUUACUUAAGUGGAAAACGAUGUGAAGUUACUUAAACAACCAGGAGGUUGGCUUAGAAGCAGCCAUCCUUUAAAGAAAGCGUAAUAGCUCACUGGUCUAGUGAUUUUGCGCGGAAAAUAUAACGGGGCUAAAGUAAGUACCGAAGCUGUAGACUUAGUUUACUAAGUGGUAGGAGAGCGUUCUAUUUGCGUCGAAGGUAUACCGGUAAGGAGUGCUGGAGCGAAUAGAAGUGAGCAUGCAGGCAUGAGUAGCGAUAAUUAAUGUGAGAAUCAUUAACGCCGUAAACCCAAGGUUUCCUACGCGAUGCUCGUCAUCGUAGGGUUAGUCGGGUCCUAAGUCGAGUCCGAAAGGGGUAGACGAUGGCAAAUUGGUUAAUAUUCCAAUACCAACAUUAGUGUGCGAUGGAAGGACGCUUAGGGCUAAGGGGGCUAGCGGAUGGAAGUGCUAGUCUAAGGUCGUAGGAGGUUAUACAGGCAAAUCCGUAUAACAAUACUCCGAGAACUGAAAGGCUUUUUGAAGUCUUCGGAUGGAUAGAAGAACCCCUGAUGCCGUCGAGCCAAGAAAAGUUUCUAAGUUUAGCUAAUGUUGCCCGUACCGUAAACCGACACAGGUGGGUGGGAUGAGUAUUCUAAGGCGCGUGGAAGAACUCUCUUUAAGGAACUCUGCAAAAUAGCACCGUAUCUUCGGUAUAAGGUGUGGUUAGCUUUGUAUUAGGAUUUACUCCGAAAGCAAGGAAACUUACAACAAAGAGUCCCUCCCGACUGUUUACCAAAAACACAGCACUCUGCUAACUCGUAAGAGGAUGUAUAGGGUGUGACGCCUGCCCGGUGCUCGAAGGUUAAUUGAUGGGGUUAGCAUUAGCGAAGCUCUUGAUCGAAGCCCGAGUAAACGGCGGCCGUAACUAUAACGGUCCUAAGGUAGCGAAAUUCCUUGUCGGUUAAAUACCGACCUGCAUGAAUGGCGUAACGAGAUGGGAGCUGUCUCAAAGAGGGAUCCAGUGAAAUUGUAGUGGAGGUGAAAAUUCCUCCUACCCGCGGCAAGACGGAAAGACCCCGUGGACCUUUACUACAGCUUGACACUGCUACUUGGAUAAGAAUGUGCAGGAUAGGUGGGAGGCUUUGAGUAUAUGACGCCAGUUGUAUAUGAGCCAUUGUUGAGAUACCACUCUUUCUUAUUUGGGUAGCUAACCAGCUUGAGUUAUCCUCAAGUGGGACAAUGUCUGGUGGGUAGUUUGACUGGGGCGGUCGCCUCCCAAAUAAUAACGGAGGCUUACAAAGGUUGGCUCAGAACGGUUGGAAAUCGUUCGUAGAGUAUAAAGGUAUAAGCCAGCUUAACUGCAAGACAUACAAGUCAAGCAGAGACGAAAGUCGGUCUUAGUGAUCCGGUGGUUCUGUGUGGAAGGGCCAUCGCUCAAAGGAUAAAAGGUACCCCGGGGAUAACAGGCUGAUCUCCCCAAGAGCUCACAUCGACGGGGAGGUUUGGCACCUCGAUGUCGGCUCAUCGCAUCCUGGGGCUGGAGCAGGUCCCAAGGGUAUGGCUGUUCGCCAUUUAAAGCGGUACGCGAGCUGGGUUCAGAACGUCGUGAGACAGUUCGGUCCCUAUCUGCCGUGGGCGUAAGAAGAUUGAAGAGAUUUGACCCUAGUACGAGAGGACCGGGUUGAACAAACCACUGGUGUAGCUGUUGUUCUGCCAAGAGCAUCGCAGCGUAGCUAAGUUUGGAAAGGAUAAACGCUGAAAGCAUCUAAGCGUGAAGCCAACUCUAAGAUGAAUCUUCUCUAAGCUCUCUAGAAGACUACUAGUUUGAUAGGCUGGGUGUGUAAUGGAUGAAAGUCCUUUAGCUGACCAGUACUAAUAGAGCGUUUGGCUUAUCUUU
RNAcentral lists this ribosomal RNA (2906 nucleotides) under Campylobacter jejuni. RNAcentral's name for it is "23S ribosomal RNA". It matches the Rfam family "Bacterial large subunit ribosomal RNA". The record is from RNAcentral. Lineage: Bacteria; Pseudomonadati; Campylobacterota; Epsilonproteobacteria; Campylobacterales; Campylobacteraceae.